Xenopus tropicalis (tropical clawed frog) is the source of this 1233-nucleotide long non-coding RNA. RefSeq lists it as uncharacterized. Lineage: Eukaryota; Metazoa; Chordata; Amphibia; Anura; Pipidae. The transcript has 2 exons. The record is from RefSeq and is a predicted model, not a curated record.
GUUAUGGCUACUGCUACUACACCAGGUAAUGCACUAAUAUUUCACUUACUGUGGAAGGUGUUUAUAGUAGUCAGGGCAUUAUAGAGUUGAAGUAACUCUGAGAUCUGUAUCUGCAUUAGCUGGGUAUAAUUAUGUGUAUGCACAUGGAUCCAGUACUUUGCCAUCACGAUUGUAGCCAGAUUGUAUUGCUGCAUUAGGGCUGAAGUUGUUCAGGUGCCUCGCUAGUAGUAGCCUGGCUAAUUAUGUUUAAAACUCUGUAUAAGGGUCUGUAGUAUAACCCUACUGGCUAAUCGGGGUGUAACCAGAGUACCUCUGCUGAAGGUAAUUAUGUAAUUAGCCAAAGGUGUUGUGGCUCUCAUUCCAGUCCUGAGUUCCCAGAGUAUAGCACCAUAGGCUGGGAAGGGCAUAUGGCAGGGAAUGACCUGGUCUCUCAAGGGAUGUCACAUUCGCACUGCUUGGGAUGACCUAUGCUUUCCAAUUUAUGGACUGUGCCAUCAUAGUCUCUAGAGGUAAGUUCUACCUACAUCUCCCUGCCUAGGGCCCAGUUAUCUGGCCCAUAGUAUUGCCUGCGCAACAGUAAAUUACUUGCCCUGAAGUAUUCUCCCUUGGGUGAGGGUGCCUCCAGCUGGGAAGCUUGAAACAGGGUGUUUUUGACUUCCAUCAAAUUAGUCCGAAUACAGGGCAUACACACUGGUUAGGUCUAGAAGCUCUAACCUUAACUCAUACUUGAAAGACAUUCCUUAUUCCUACCCAGUUGUCUACAUUGGCUGGGAUUGUCUUCCUGUUCCUAUGCUAUAUAUUAGUUUAGCGGCAUGGUGGCUAUGAGUAUGCCUUCCCGUCCAGGGUAUAUCAUAUGUAGUGGCAUUGCCGUUCAUGUCUUCUGUCAUGGGUUGCCCUGCUUGUCUCAUUUUAUGCUAGUCCCCAUAAAGGGACAGCAUAUAGCCCAAAAAUUAGGGACUGUUUUGUCAUUGCAGUACCUGAGAUUCCUGGAAUUAGGUUACUCUUGUGGAGGGUUAUCAUUCUAGUAUGUGACCUCGGCAUGAGAGCAACCUUUAAAGAUUGUUAUGGGAUAGAGUGCUACUAGCGGUCAAGAGGUCAGCAUAAGCACAUAUAGGACUCAUAAAGGUCUGACAGGGCUCACAUGGUUUCUGCCUAUAGUACUUCCUUCAUGAUGCAUAUCUUCUACCUUGUAAUGUUCAUGUUGCAUUAGUUCCAGAUACUGAUAUGUAUAGA